Molecule: non-coding RNA, 75 nt
Organism: Myotis davidii
Lineage: Eukaryota; Metazoa; Chordata; Mammalia; Chiroptera; Vespertilionidae
Source: Rfam
GGUGGUUCUCGGGUGAUGCACCCCAGAAUUGGGCUCCCUCCUCUCUGGUUCCAGGUGCAUCACUCAAGAACUGCA